GUAAUAGUUCUUCACUAUUUUUCAACGGUGCCUCCUGGCCCUGCGGCCCAGCGAUUACCAUCCGUCAGCUCCGCGCCGCCCUUGCGCCGACCGGACUCCGCGCCCGCCGCGGCUUCUCACCGACUGCCAGCCAAGGAAAGCCCCGCCGCCUCGCGCCGCGUCGCGUCCACGCUACGCUGAUCCGUCAGCGGAGUGAAGUACUAGUAGAGUGUUUCCGGCGGCGGGGCGUUUCAGAGCAAUCUCGACGCCCCUAAACCCUAGGUACGACUCGCCCGGGCCAAGCGCCGAUCCCGGAUCGACCCCUUCGCCGGCGAUGAACCGGCGGCCGGAGCUCUGCAGGAACUACCAGCGCGGCAGCUGCAAGUACGGGGAGCAGUGCAGGUUCGUGCACGCCAACUCCAACCAACACCAGCAGCAGCAGCAGGCGAAGCCCAACCCCUUCGGGUUUGGCGCCGGGAGCAGGCAGCAGCCGCAGCAGUCGUUCGGUGCGCAGUCCCAGCAGUUUCAGCAGCAGCAGCAGAAGCCUAAUCCGUUCGGGUUCGGAGUGCAAGGCGGUGCCGCCCAGCAGCGGAACGAGUCUGGCCCGGCAAAGCCUUUUCAAAAUAAGUGGGUGAGGGAUCCCUCGGCGCCACAGACAAAGCAAGGGGAGGCGCAGCCAGCACCGCAGCCGGCCCACACAUCAUGUACAGACCCUGAGUCCUGCAGGCAGCAGAUAUCUGAUGAUUUCAAGAAUGAGGCUCCCCUGUGGAAGCUUACUUGCUAUGCUCAUCUCAGAAGUGGUCCUUGUGACAUUACGGGGGAUAUUAGCUACGAGGAGCUGAGAGCUAAAGCAUAUGAAGAGGGCAAGCAAGGGAAACCUAUGCAAUCAAUAGUUGAAGGAGAAAGAAAUCUACAAAAUGCGAAGUUGAUGGAGUUCACUAAUUUGCUGAACAAGGCAUGUUCAACACCAAGCUUUCCUACUGCAGGCUCCUUCCCAGAAGUGAAAAAUAACUCAACCUUUGGGAGUUCUCAAACUAAUGGACCACCUGUGUUUAGUAGUUUCAAUCAACUUGGAGCAGCAACAAAUUUUGGAUCUGGGCCAAGAACUGCCGCACCAGGUGUUCCAACCAAUACCAUUUUCGGUCAGCCUACACUUACUUUUGGUCAGUCUACCCAGUCUACUUUUGGUCGGUCUACACAGUCUACUCCAUCGUUUGGUGCCCCUACUUUUGGCAGUACUGGGAUGAAAUUUGGAGUUCCAGAUGCAUUUGGGAGCCAGACGUCAAAGCAAUCAUUUGGGAGUUACCAUAAUUCGAGCAUGUCCAGCAACAACAAUUUUCCGAACUCUAUUUCCUCUAGCCAUCACAGAGACAUUGAUAAGCAGUCAGUAGAAUUACUUAAUGGGAUGACACCUCGUACAAGUGCCAUGGACCAGGCACCUAUUGAAGACAGUAGAAACGAUAAACAGGAUGAUAGCAUUUGGCUGAAAGAGAAAUGGGAAAUUGGACAGAUACCACUGGACGAGCCGCCACAGAGGCAUGUUAGCCAUGUAUUUUAAGAACUGGAGGGAGAAUUUUGCAUUGUGGAGGUAUGAUCCAGUCAGUGCCCUUUAGUGGCCUCUUUCUGUUUAGUUGAGGUGGCAUCAAAGUCUUCUCCUCGCGAGCUCGGUAAUGAUACGGCGAAGCAAGCUAAGCUGGAGAGUGUACAACAAUGUAGAUGAAGGCGGAACGAUUCGAUGCGGUGCUUGGCACCACCUACUUUUGCUUGCCCCCGUUUACGGAAGGCGACUAGAGCUAGAAACCAAACAGUUGAGCAGUCUCAGUAGUAGUACUUCGUAACAUGUGUGUGUGUUUCACGCCUUAUUCAUGAAAUGAUAUAUGGAGGAAAACAAAAAGGAAAAAUUGUGAGGAGUAAA
Molecule: RNA transcript, 1894 nt
Organism: Hordeum vulgare subsp. vulgare (domesticated barley)
Lineage: Eukaryota; Viridiplantae; Streptophyta; Magnoliopsida; Poales; Poaceae
Gene name: zinc finger CCCH domain-containing protein 46
Exons: 11
Source: RefSeq, a predicted model, not a curated record